GAUGAACGCUGGCGGCGUGCCUAAUACAUGCCAGUCGAGCGAACGGACGAGAAGCUUGCUUUUCUGAUGUUAGCGGCGGACGGGUGAGUAACACGUGGAUAACCUGCCUAUAAGACUGGGAUAACUUCGGGAAACCGGAGCUAAUACCGGAUAAUAUUUUGAACCGCAUGGUUCAAAAGUGAAAGACGGUCUUGCUGUCACUUAUAGAUGGAUCCGCGCUGCAUUAGCUAGUUGGUAAGGUAACGGCUUACCAAGGCAACGAUGCAUAGCCGACCUGAGAGGGUGAUCGGCCACACUGGAACUGAGACACGGUCCAGACUCCUACGGGAGGCAGCAGUAGGGAAUCUUCCGCAAUGGGCGAAAGCCUGACGGAGCAACGCCGCGUGAGUGAUGAAGGUCUUCGGAUCGUAAAACUCUGUUAUUAGGGAAGAACAUAUGUGUAAGUAACUGUGCACAUCUUGACGGUACCUAAUCAGAAAGCCACGGCUAACUACGUG
RNAcentral lists this ribosomal RNA (497 nucleotides) under uncultured bacterium. Its description in RNAcentral is "partial 16S ribosomal RNA". It matches the Rfam family "Bacterial small subunit ribosomal RNA", at positions 28 to 507 of the family's 1533-position model. The record is from RNAcentral.